CGCCUCCUGCAAAAAUCAACGUAUAGGAGGUCCUGCCUGCCCAGUGAUAAAUUAAACGGCCGCGGUAUUUUGACCGUGCAAAGGUAGCGCAAUCACUUGUCUUUUAAAUGAAGACCCGUAUGAAUGGUGGAACGAGGGCUUAACUGUCUCCCCUCUCAAGUCAAUGAAAUUGAUCUAUCCGUGCAGAAGCGGACAUAAAAAUACAAGACGAGAAGACCCUUUGGAGCUUAAGAUAAAAAAUCAAUUAUGUCAAGAACCUCAAAACCAAGUUAAACCAAAUAUGCCUGAUUUUAUAUCUUCGGUUGGGGCGACCGCGGGAGAAAACAAAGCUCCCACGCGGACUGGGGCAAACCCCUAAAGCCAAGAAAGACAUUUCUAAGACACAAAACAUUUGACCAAAAGAUCCGGCGACCCGCCGAUCAACGAACCAAGUUACCCUAGGGAUAACAGCGCAAUCCCCUUCCAGAGUCCAUAUCGACAAGGGGGUUUACGACCUCGAUGUUGGAUCAGGACAUCCUAAUGGUGCAGCCGCUAUUAAGGGUUCGUUUGUUCAACGAUUAAAGUCCU
Molecule: ribosomal RNA, 567 nt
Filed under: Rita rita
Lineage: Eukaryota; Metazoa; Chordata; Actinopteri; Siluriformes; Bagridae
Description: partial 16S ribosomal RNA
Rfam family: Bacterial large subunit ribosomal RNA
Source: RNAcentral